UGAGGAAUAUUGGUCAAUGGGCGCAAGCCUGAACCAGCCAUCCCGCGUGCAGGAAGACGGCCCUAUGGGUUGUAAACUGCUUUUUCAGGGGGAGAAUUUUUCUGUCGUGACAGGAAUUGACGGUACCCUGGGAAUAAGCAUCGGCUAACUCCGUGCCAGCAGCCGCGGUAAUACGGAGGAUGCGAGCGUUAUCCGGAUUUAUUGGGUUUAAAGGGUGCGUAGGCGGAUAGAUAAGUCAGUGGUGAAAACCUGCAGCUUAACUGUAGACUUGCCGUUGAUACUGUCAGUCUUGAGUAUGGUCAAGGUAGGCGGAAUGUGUAAUGUAGCGGUGAAAUGCUUAGAUAUUACACAGAACACCGAUUGCGAAGGCAGCUUACUGGGCCAUUACUGACGCUGAUGCACGAAAGCGUGGGGAUCGAACAG
Molecule: ribosomal RNA, 423 nt
Filed under: uncultured bacterium
Lineage: Bacteria
Description: bacterial SSU rRNA
Rfam family: Bacterial small subunit ribosomal RNA
Source: RNAcentral